UGCAGCUUGAGAUCCUCGCGGGGAAUUGGGCCUCUGCAAUUUCAAGGCCCAAUGUCUUUGCUUUUAAUGAAGAAAGACUCAGAAAAGUGAAGUGAUUAGCCAGGGAGGGCUGAGUAGGAAUGGUCUUCACGGCCCAAUGCAUCGGGCAUUUGCCGUGUAACGGGAGUGGUUAGGAGCACCUGGCCUGAAGUGUCUUCUUGAAUCUUCUCUGGUCUGUUUUGUCCCCAUGGUAUGGUAAGGAAUAGGGACAGUCAAGUCUUCAGUCUUCAGCGCCUGGGUUUUUCCUGUCACGGAUGCCACCUCUCUCUAGCUUCAUGGAAGGGACUCGAAUGUUGCCAACGUUCAGCUGCUGUGUCCUCAGCUUUCUUGUAGCUCCAUAGCUGUGCUGUGGCUGUGGGGAAGGAGCCCCUGAGAAGCGAUCAUCUGCAUGGUCUCUGGCAGCCCUGUUAGGAUCAUAUUGUGAUUGGCCAGGAAACAGCCCGGGGAGGAAACAGCCAGAUUCUUGUUUAAGAUCAGCAUUGGCUGUGAAAACCACACAGCCUAAUUCUCGCCUCCAUUCAUGAACAAGAAGGAGGGGAAUUACAGAAAGAGCUUCACAUUUCAGUCCUUCACAUGCCUGGAGUUAGCGUGAGGAGGCUUUAUGGCCCAACACUCGGUAGCACCUCAUCGACUAUCCCCAGCUCAAAGCAUGCACAGGAGGAAACAAAAAUAAAUCUUUAUUUGAGUAUGCUCCUGUUUUACAUUCAAGUAGCUGUCCGUGUGUCUUCAAUAGCAAAUCAUCUUGGUGAUGAUAGAUCAUAAGCUCAAGAGGGAAUUGCCUCAGGAGAACAGGUACUUAAUCAUCAGGGUUGGAUGGAGGUUGCCUCAUCCUAGAGUUUGGGGGUGGGGGGUGACCUCCA
Molecule: long non-coding RNA, 899 nt
Filed under: Pan troglodytes (chimpanzee)
Lineage: Eukaryota; Metazoa; Chordata; Mammalia; Primates; Hominidae
Description: long non-coding RNA NONPTRT014933
Source: RNAcentral